AUGGGGGCUAAAACCAUGAAUAUGAUCCUUGCUAUAGCAGUUGCAGUGUUCAUGCUACAAGGAACAGACGCUGCAGAAUACACAGUAGGAGACAACCUUGGUUGGACCAUUCCACCGGGUGGCGCCGCCACGUAUGCUGCAUGGGCUGCCGCGCAUAGCUUGGUAGUAAACGACAUUCUAGGUGAGCUAUACUUUUCCUUUUAUUACUUGUUCUUUUUGUUUUUAGGAGUGUUGUUGGCAUGGCAUGGCAUGGCAUGCAUAUCGCUAAUUAAUCUAUAUGGUUUUGUUUGUGCACUGUACAGCCUUUAACUUUGCAGUAGGAGAACAAGACUUGGCUUUGGUGACCAAGGAGGAUUUUGAUGCGUGCAACACCGCGGAACCCUUAGUUGUGUUCAAAGAACCAGGAGAAUUUCAAUUUCUAAAAGAGGGCACGUUCUAUUUGACCUGCACCUUCGCCGGCCAUUGCACCAAAGGCCAAAAGAUUGCCCUUUACUUCGCUCCCACUGCAUCUCCAAGUCCAGCUCCAAGUCCAAGUCAAAGUCAGAGCGCUGAUGAUGCUGAUGAACAAUAUGCUGCCGCAGUCAAAUUUGUUGCCAAGAAAGAAUAUGGCUUCAAGAAAAUAAUACCUGCAACGAUCAAAUCUCUCUAG
This 649-nucleotide long non-coding RNA is filed under the name Prunus dulcis (almond). RNAcentral's name for it is "sRNA ncRNA". Lineage: Eukaryota; Viridiplantae; Streptophyta; Magnoliopsida; Rosales; Rosaceae. The record is from RNAcentral.